AUCUCCUCAAAAUAAUUGUGUUUGUCGAGGUUUAUGUAUAGGGGUUGUAAAAGAACCCCACUAAAAGCCAAUCAAAAUUUUAAAUCUUUAUGUUUCCCGCGAUCUUCUUAAUCCAACUAUGACCAAUUCCCUCCAUUCCUUUUUCUUUUUGAUAUUCCUUCAUUUUUUUGCUCUGUAAAAAUUCAUAAAAUAAUAGUUGCUGCUCAACCUCAUUUUUCAUAUUUCUCUGCUCUCAUCGCUGCUGCCCAACCGUUGUCGCUCUGUCUCCCUAUCGCAGGCCACCAUCCCCAGAACCCAGAUCCCACUUAAUAUUUUACCAUUGUGAAGUCAGCAAUAGUUUACCAUUGUGAAGUCAUCAAUAGACUUAGUGCUCUUUGCUUCACUAUUCUACAACUCUACAAGGCCAAUUGUUUGAUGAAAUACACUUAUUCUCCCAUUGAACUCUGCAAGCAAAUAAAAGGACUAAAAUAAGCCUAUGUAUAGCAGAAAUUUGAAGCUACAUGAUUGGAGAUGCAAUAGUCUAUGUAUGAGUUAGGGAGGGUGAAUUGAAGCACAUGGAUGCAGCACAACUGAGAGAGUAUGGUCACAACAUGGUUAAAAUUCAUUGCUGAUUAUUACAACAUUGAGAACUCCCUUUUCUUAGUUAAGUUCAGGUUUUUAUAACCCAUCAAUUUCUUUGCCAUUUGUAUCAUUACCAUGCUAUUGCGGUAUUGCCAAGAGUUAAUAGUUUUCUUAAGAGUUUUAGUACCUGCCUGUCAGUUGUGUUUCGGCAGUCUCUGGAGUCUUAGCUAGAGAGCAGUACUCUAUUCUAUUUAGAAUAAAUGGUGGAGCUAAAUGUUAUAAUAAAUAAUAUAUAUACAGUUU
Nicotiana tabacum (common tobacco) is the source of this 864-nucleotide long non-coding RNA. RefSeq lists it as uncharacterized. NCBI's taxonomy places the organism in Eukaryota, Viridiplantae, Streptophyta, Magnoliopsida, Solanales, Solanaceae. The record is from RefSeq and is a predicted model, not a curated record.